AACGAACGCUGGCGGCGUGCUUAAGACAUGCAAGUCGUGCGAGAAAGUUCCUUCGGGAGCGAGUAAAGCGGCGCACGGGUGAGUAACGCGUGGGUAAUCUGCCCGAUGGACUGGGACUAAACCCCCGGGAACGUGGNGCUAUACCAGAUAAGACCACGGAGUCUACGGACUUCGACGGAAAAAGGGUGGCCUCUGCUUGCAAGCUACUACCAACGGAUGAGCCUGCGUCCCAUUAGC
RNAcentral lists this ribosomal RNA (237 nucleotides) under uncultured bacterium. RNAcentral's name for it is "partial 16S ribosomal RNA". It matches the Rfam family "Bacterial small subunit ribosomal RNA", at positions 29 to 245 of the family's 1533-position model. The record is from RNAcentral.